ACGGGUGAGUAACACGUAGGUAACCUGCCUAUAAGAUCGGGAUAACUAUCGGAAACGAUAGCUAAGACCGGAUAAUUGGUUUUCUCGCAUGAGAGAAUUAUGAAACACGGAGCAAUCUGUGGCUUAUAGAUGGGCCUGCGGCGCAUUAGCUAGUUGGUGAGGUAACGGCUCACCAAGGCGACGAUGCGUAGCCGACCUGAGAGGGUGAACGGCCACACUGGGACUGAGACACGGCCCAGACUCCUACGGGAGGCAGCAGUAGGGAAUCUUCCGCAAUGGACGCAAGUCUGACGGAGCAACGCCGCGUGAGUGAUGAAGGUUUUCGGAUCGUAAAGCUCUGUUGCCCUAGACGAACAGCAAGGAGAGUAACUGCUCUUUGUGUGACGGUAUAGGAGAAGAAAGCCCCGGCUAACUACGUGCCAGCAGCCGCGGUAAUACGUAGGGGGCAAGCGUUGUCCGGAAUUAUUGGGCGUAAAGCGCGCGCAGGCGGUCAAUUAAGUUGGGUGUUUAAGCCCGGGGCUCAACCCCGGUUCGCAUCCAAAACUGGUUGACUUGAGUGUAGGAGAGGAAAGUGGAAUUCCACGUGUA
This 588-nucleotide ribosomal RNA is filed under the name uncultured bacterium. Its description in RNAcentral is "bacterial SSU rRNA". It matches the Rfam family "Bacterial small subunit ribosomal RNA", at positions 102 to 677 of the family's 1533-position model. The record is from RNAcentral.